Molecule: ribosomal RNA, 395 nt
Filed under: uncultured bacterium
Lineage: Bacteria
Description: bacterial SSU rRNA
Rfam family: Bacterial small subunit ribosomal RNA
Source: RNAcentral
AUUUUGGGCAAUGGGCGGAAGCCUGACCCAGCAACGCCGCGUGGGUGAUGAAGGCCCUCGGGUCGUAAAGCCCUUUUCCCAGGGAAGAUGGUGACGGUACCUGGGGAAUCAGCCCCGGCUAACUACGUGCCCGCAGCCGCGGUAAUACGUAGGGGGCAAGCGUUGUCCGGAUUUAUUGGGCGUAAAGCGCUCGCAGGUGGUUUGUCGCGUCGUGCGUGAAAGACCCCGGCUCAACUGGGGGGCGUCGUGCGAUACAGGCAAACUGGAGGCCAGUAGGGGGAUGCGGAAUUCCGGGUGUAGUGGUGGAAUGCGUAGAGAUCCGGAGGAACACCUGCGGCGAAGGCGGCAUCCUAGACUGGUCCUGACACUCAGGAGCGAAAGCGUGGGGAGCGAUC